GACGAACGCUGGCGGCGUGCUUAACACAUGCAAGUCGAACGGAAAGGCCCUGCUUUUGUGGGGUGCUCGAGUGGCGAACGGGUGAGUAACACGUGAGUAACCUGCCCUUGACUUUGGGAUAACUUCAGGAAACUGGGGCUAAUACCGGAUAGGAGCUCCUGCUGCAUGGUGGGGGUUGGAAAGUUUCGGCGGUUGGGGAUGGACUCGCGGCUUAUCAGCUUGUUGGUGGGGUAGUGGCUUACCAAGGCUUUGACGGGUAGCCGGCCUGAGAGGGUGACCGGCCACAAUGGGCCUGAGAUACGGCCCAGACUCCUACGGGAGGCAGCAGUGGGAAAUAUUGCACAAUGGGCGGAAGCCUGAUGCAGCAACGCCGCGUGCGGGAUGACGGCCUUCGGGUUGUAAACCGCUUUCGCCUGUGACGAAGCGUGCGUGACGGUAAUGGGUAAAGAAGCACCGGCUAACUACGUG
This 468-nucleotide ribosomal RNA is filed under the name uncultured bacterium. RNAcentral's name for it is "partial 16S ribosomal RNA". It matches the Rfam family "Bacterial small subunit ribosomal RNA", at positions 28 to 507 of the family's 1533-position model. The record is from RNAcentral.